RNAcentral lists this ribosomal RNA (253 nucleotides) under uncultured bacterium. RNAcentral's name for it is "partial 16S ribosomal RNA". It matches the Rfam family "Bacterial small subunit ribosomal RNA", at positions 524 to 776 of the family's 1533-position model. The record is from RNAcentral.
GACAGAGGGUGCAAACGUUGUUCGGAAUUACUGGGCAUAAAGCGCACGUAGGUGGUCCGCUAAGUCGCGUGUGAAAUCCCCCGGCUCAACCGGGGAAAUGCGCGUGAUACUGGCGGGCUUGAGAUCGGGAGGGGUGAAUGGAACUCCAGGUGUAGCGGUGAAAUGCGUAGAUAUCUGGAGGAACACCGGUGGCGAAGGCGGCAUCCUGGACCGGUAUUGACGCUGAGGCGCGAAAGCUAGGGGAGCAAACGGG